RNAcentral lists this ribosomal RNA (498 nucleotides) under uncultured bacterium. RNAcentral describes it as "partial 16S ribosomal RNA". It matches the Rfam family "Bacterial small subunit ribosomal RNA", at positions 28 to 506 of the family's 1533-position model. The record is from RNAcentral.
GACGAACGCUGGCGGCGUGCCUAAUACAUGCAAGUCGAGCGAAGUUUUUCUGGUGCUUGCACUAGAAAAACUUAGCGGCGAACGGGUGAGUAACACGUAAAGAACCUGCCUCAUAGACUGGGACAACUAUUGGAAACGAUAGCUAAUACCGGAUAACAGUAUUUCUCGCAUGAGAGAUAUUUAAAAGUUGGUUAUGCUAACACUAUGAGAUGGCUUUGCGGUGCAUUAGCUAGUUGGUGGGGUAAAGGCCCACCAAGGCGACGAUGCAUAGCCGACCUGAGAGGGUGAUCGGCCACACUGGGACUGAGACACGGCCCAGACUCCUACGGGAGGCAGCAGUAGGGAAUCUUCCGCAAUGGGCGAAAGCCUGACGGAGCAACGCCGCGUGAGUGAAGAAGGAUUUCGGUUCGUAAAUCUCUGUUGUUAGGGAAGAAUGGAUAUGUAGUAACUAUACAUGUAAGAGACGGUACCUAACCAGAAAGCCACGGCUAACUACGU